RNAcentral lists this unclassified non-coding RNA (294 nucleotides) under uncultured fungus. RNAcentral describes it as "sequence contains ITS2". Lineage: Eukaryota; Fungi. The record is from RNAcentral.
AACGCACCUUGCGCUCCUUGGUAUUCUGAGGAGCAUGCCUGUUUGAGUGUCAUUAAUAUAUCAAUCUCUUCAGCUUUUGCUUGUUGAGUUUUUGGAUGUGGGGGUUUUGCUGGCCUCUUUCCUGAGGUUGGCUCUCCUAAAAUGCAUUAGCGGAACAACAGUUGACCGUUCAUUGGUGUGAUAAUUAUCUACGCUAUUUAACGGGAAGCAUGUUUAGCUUACAACAGUCCAUUGACUUGGACAAAUUUUUAUUAAUGUGACCUCAAAUCAGGUAGGACUACCCGCUGAACUUAA